This 602-nucleotide ribosomal RNA is filed under the name Shigella sonnei. RNAcentral describes it as "partial 23S ribosomal RNA". It matches the Rfam family "Bacterial large subunit ribosomal RNA", at positions 313 to 920 of the family's 2925-position model. The record is from RNAcentral. Lineage: Bacteria; Pseudomonadati; Pseudomonadota; Gammaproteobacteria; Enterobacterales; Enterobacteriaceae.
UGAAUCAGUGUGUGUGUUAGUGGAAGCGUCUGGAAAGGCGUGCGAUACAGGGUGACAGCCCCGUACACAAAAAUGCACAUAUUGUGAGCUUGAUGAGUAGGGCGGGACACGUGGUAUCCUGUCUGAAUAUGGGGGGACCAUCCUCCAAGGCUAAAUACUCCUGACUGACCGAUAGUGAACCAGUACCGUGAGGGAAAGGCGAAAAGAACCCCGGCGAGGGGAGUGAAAAAGAACCUGAAACCGUGUACGUACAAGCAGUGGGAGCACGCUUAGGCGUGUGACUGCGUACCUUUUGUAUAAUGGGUCAGCGACUUAUAUUCUGUAGCAAGGUUAACCGAAUAGGGGAGCCGAAGGGAAACCGAGUCUUAACUGGGCGUUAAGUUGCAGGGUAUAGACCCGAAACCCGGUGAUCUAGCCAUGGGCAGGUUGAAGGUUGGGUAACACUAACUGGAGGACCGAACCGACUAAUGUUGAAAAAUUAGCGGAUGACUUGUGGCUGGGGGUGAAAGGCCAAUCAAACCGGGAGAUAGCUGGUUCUCCCCGAAAGCUAUUUAGGUAGCGCCUCGUGAAUUCAUCUCCGGGGGUAGAGCACUGUUUCGGCA